UAUACAGAGUGAGACACUACUAAAUUCUCCCUAACACUCAAAACACACUUUGGUGUGAAAGGGAGUUUGAUUUUUCAUGUUGUGAAAGAUUGGUGAUGGCCUCAACCACUAAUAUGUCCAACUCAAAAGGACUAAAAUUUGCUGUCAUUUUGAUGUUCAUCUAUUCACUCACAUUCCUUCCUUCUAUAUCAGGUAAAACAAUAGAGGGGGUGACAAAAAACAUGAACCUAAGGAGAAACACAUCAUUAUCUUCUUCUCACUCUUUCUUUCAAUUUUUUGAAAAAGGGAGAAGUGGAGAAAGGAAGCAAAUGAGAAUGGUGAUGUUGGGAUCAAGUCCACCAAAGUGUGUAAAUAGGUGCAAAGGCUGCAGACCUUGCAUGGCUGUACUUGUCAUUCCUCCACAUAUUACUUCUUCUGGGAAAGUUAGCAAAGCGUUAAAUACAUUAUACACUAGAGAAGAUGAAGGCUAUUAUCUCCUAUCAUGGAAAUGCAAAUGUGGAACUAAGUAUUUUCAACCUUGAAAUCUCAUCUAAUAUUAAUUCUUUUUUGCCCUCUUCUAACUUAGGGUAGAAGGUAAAGUUGUAAACAAUUUCUUGGUGUUAAUGCAUUCAUUUUAUGAACGACUUUUAGUUAGUAACUUUACAUGUACAUUACAGAACUCUUUAUAACAAUAUUCA
Nicotiana tabacum (common tobacco) is the source of this 677-nucleotide long non-coding RNA. RefSeq lists it as uncharacterized. Lineage: Eukaryota; Viridiplantae; Streptophyta; Magnoliopsida; Solanales; Solanaceae. The record is from RefSeq and is a predicted model, not a curated record.